RNAcentral lists this unclassified non-coding RNA (132 nucleotides) under soil metagenome. RNAcentral describes it as "partial internal transcribed spacer 1". The record is from RNAcentral.
CUGAGUGUAAAAACUCCCAAACCCAUGUGAACAUUACCUCUGUUGCUUCGGCGGGCACCUCGCUGCCCGCCAGAGGAACCAAACUCUGGUUUAUAUCUUGGCAUUGUCUGAGUGGCGCAAGCAAAUAAAUCA